UGGGGAAUAUUGGACAAUGGGCGCAAGCCUGAUCCAGCCAUGCCGCGUGGGUGAUGAAGGCCCUAGGGUUGUAAAGCUCUUUCGACGGGGAAGAUAAUGACGGUACCCGUAGAAGAAGCCCCGGCUAACUUCGUGCCAGCAGCCGCGGUAAUACGAAGGGGGCUAGCGUUGCUCGGAAUCACUGGGCGUAAAGCGCACGUAGGCGGAUUCUUAAGUCAGAGGUGAAAUCCCAAGGCUCAACCUUGGAACUGCCUUUGAUACUGAGAACCUUGAGUUCGGGAGAGGUGAGUGGAACUGCGAGUGUAGAGGUGAAAUUCGUAGAUAUUCGCAAGAACACCAGUGGCGAAGGCGGCUCACUGGCCCGAUACUGACGCUGAGGUGCGAAAGCGUGGGGAGCAAACAGG
Molecule: ribosomal RNA, 404 nt
Filed under: uncultured bacterium
Lineage: Bacteria
Description: bacterial SSU rRNA
Rfam family: Bacterial small subunit ribosomal RNA
Source: RNAcentral